Molecule: long non-coding RNA, 887 nt
Organism: Pygocentrus nattereri (red-bellied piranha)
Lineage: Eukaryota; Metazoa; Chordata; Actinopteri; Characiformes; Serrasalmidae
Exons: 2
Source: RefSeq, a predicted model, not a curated record
AUAAGAACUUUUAUUUUUUAAGAAUGUUACCAAUUGAAAACUGUAUAUUUAGUGUUUAGGAAGUUCAGUUUGUCUGUGUAAAUUCAAAUGAACCAAGCGAGUCCUCAGUUUAGAUAUUUCACUGCUUAUAAAAUAAUCCUUGUUGGGAAUAAAAGGCAGAAUGUGUGCAGAUCUACAGUGUGUAGUUUAUUCCAUUACUAGAUGAUUGUAGAACCCAUUAAUAUUGUAUUAUAUGUCAGAAAUAGUGCGUGUAGAGGCUGAAGAGAGUGGCGUGUUUAGAGCAGGAGGUUUUUGUACAGCCAGUAAACCAGUUUGUAUCACUGUGGUGGACUUUUGGUGGAGGAACCAAACUGUCAGUUGGAAGUUUGGCCGCGCCCACCCUCACGGUCCUGCCCCCCUCCAGCGUGGAGCUGCAGCAUGGGAAAGCCACACUCGUGUGUUUGGCCAACAAGGGCUUCCCCUCAGACUGGAGGCUGAGCUGGAAGGUGGACGGGAUCAGCUGGAGCUCGGGGGUUAGCCAGAGCCCUGGGCUUCUGCAGAAGGACGACGGCCUCUACAGCUGGAGCAGCACCCUGACCCUCCAAGAGGACCAGUGGCUAAAGAAGACAGUGACCUGUGAGGCCACCAAGGACUCCCAGCGUCCUGUCAGCCAAACCCUGAGGAGAGAGCAAUGCACUGAGCAGUGAGUGUCCAUGCAUGUGUUGGAGCUGCUAGAGCUCCUCUUGAUCUUCAGUGAGCUCAAACAUGGCUCUGCUUAAUGCUCUGAUCUUCAUCUCAUCACUUCAUCAUCACUUUUUUGUUUUGUUUCCUCGACCAGCAACAAUAAACAUGUACACUUUUCUUUUUUUGUUCAUUUCUCUUGUAAUUAAUAAAGCUUUUGAAACAGU